Molecule: ribosomal RNA, 360 nt
Filed under: uncultured soil bacterium
Lineage: Bacteria
Description: bacterial SSU rRNA
Rfam family: Bacterial small subunit ribosomal RNA
Source: RNAcentral
AGAGUGAACGCUGGCGGUAGGCCUAACACAUGCAAGUCGAACGGCAGCACAGUGGUAGCAAUACCAUGGGUGGCGAGUGGCGGACGGGUGAGGAAUACAUCGGAAUCUACCUUUUCGUGGGGGAUAACGUAGGGAAACUUACGCUAAUACCGCAUACGCCCUUUGGGGGAAAGCCGGGGAUCGCAAGACCUGGCGCGGAUAGAUGAGCCGAUGUCGGAUUAGCUAGGUUGGUGAGGUAGUGGCCCACAAGGCGACGAUCCGAGCUGGUCUGAGAGAUGAUCAGCCACACUGGAACUGAGACACGGUCCAGACCUCCGUACGGGAGCAGCAGGUAGGGAAUAGUAGGACUAAGUGGGACAC